GACGAACGCUGGCGGCGUGCUUAACACAUGCAAGUCGAACGGAAAGGCCCUGCAUUUGUGGGGUGCUCGAGUGGCGAACGGGUGAGUAACACGUGAGUAACCUGCCCUUGACUUUGGGAUAACUUCAGGAAACUGGGGCUAAUACCGGAUAGGAGCUCCUGCUGCAGGUUGGGGGAUGGAAAGCUUCGGCGGUUGGGGAUGGACUCGCGGCUGAUCAGCUUGGUGGUGGGGUAGUGGCUUACCAAGGCUUUGCCGGGUAGUCCGCCUGAGAGGGUCACCGGCCACAUUCGGACUGAGAUACGGCCGCGCGUCCUACGGGGGAGAACAGUGGGAAAUACUCCGUCAUGGGCGGAAGCCUGAUGACGAACCGCGGGGUGCGGCAUAGCAGCAUUCGGGUUGUCAACCGCUUUCGCCUGUGACGCAGCGUGAGUGACGGUAAUGGGCAAAGAAGCACCGGCUAACUACGUG
This 468-nucleotide ribosomal RNA is filed under the name uncultured bacterium. RNAcentral's name for it is "partial 16S ribosomal RNA". It matches the Rfam family "Bacterial small subunit ribosomal RNA", at positions 28 to 507 of the family's 1533-position model. The record is from RNAcentral.